ACGAACGCUGGCGGCAUGCCUCACCCCUGCCAGUCGCACGAGACCUUCGGGUCUAGUGGCGCACGGGUGCGUAACGCGUGGGAACCUGCCCUUAGGUUCGGAAUAACUCCCCGAAAGGGGUGCUAAUACCGGAUAAUGUCUUCGGACCAAAGAUUUAUCGCCUUUGGAUGGGCCCGCGUUGGAUUAGCUAGUUGGUAGGGUAAAAGCCUACCAAGGCGACGAUCCAUAGCUGGUCUGAGAGGAUGAUCAGCCACACUGGGACUGAGACACGGCCCAGACUCCUACGGGAGGCAGCAGUGGGGAAUAUUGGACAAUGGGCGAAAGCCCGAUCCAGCAAUGCCGCGUGAGUGAUGAAGGCCUUAGGGUUGUAAAGCUCUUUUACCCGGGAUGAUAAUGACAGUACCGGGAGAAUAAGCGCCGGCUAACUCCGUG
This 432-nucleotide ribosomal RNA is filed under the name uncultured bacterium. RNAcentral's name for it is "partial 16S ribosomal RNA". It matches the Rfam family "Bacterial small subunit ribosomal RNA", at positions 29 to 507 of the family's 1533-position model. The record is from RNAcentral.